UGGAUGACGUAGCAAAACCUAAUGUGUUCUCAGUGGUCUUAUACAUUGGCAAAACUCUGGAGAAUUUUCAGCAUGUAUUGAUUUUUCCCCACCAACAGCAUCAGUGAAGAGUAUGUUUUUCAGUAACUCCCAUUCAAGCAAUGGAGCAUGCAACAUACAUGGCUCUUGUCCUUUCAUAAGGUGCUUUCAGCAGCAAAGGGACAAGUUUAUAGUGGUGGACUUUCAAAAGAUUUGUUAUUCAUUAGCCAGUGCUACAAUAGUGAGAGGAGGAGCUCACAGGAGUUUUCCAAGUUUUAUAUUCAAAGCCAUCUCUCACACAACAAAGGAUGACAGGCUCACAGUGACCUCAGACCCAGUCCUAAAUUGUAUUGGUGAAGUUAGAUAGGAAUACACUCUUGUGAUAUCAUGUGGACACUGGAACUGAAAGGGGUAAAUCCCAGUUUUGGUAGGCAUAGCUGAUUGAUCUAGCAUGCCAAAAAAAAGCAAUGUCUAUACUAGCAGUGAAAUGGAUUAGAUAAGCACAUGCUAGGGUUCAGGAUGAAUUCAGAAUUGAUAGCUCAUCCUGCUGCCCAUGUAACUACAUGUUUGCUACCUAGUUUCAGCAUUCUAGGUUGAUCAGAGACAGCACAGAUAUUUCAACCCCAACUAGAAAUUGCUUCUUGAGCUCCAGUGCAGAUAUAGGUAAUUAAUCUCCAUGGUUAAAGUCCCAAGAUAAAGAUAAAUCUGAACUCAAACAGGGAGACAGAGAUAGCAAAUCCCAACUAAGAACUGAUUUUAAAUUGGUUUCACUAGCAUUAUAUCGCUAGUCAGGUUCUAGUCAACAUAAAAUGGCAGAUUAAUUUUGUAUAGUUAAAGUAUUUUGCUGCUCUACUGCUUGAUGUUAAAAAGGGGGAUCUAUAUCUAUGUUUCAUAAUGUUAAUAAUAAGAGAUUUACACAUCUUCAUUUAAUUUUGUUUUUAAAAAGGUUCAAUUGUAAAAAACAAAAAAAACAAACAAACAAAAAAAAAAAAACUUAGGAGAGACAUUUAGAGCUUGCUCAUUCCAAAGACUCUGAAUUCCCUUAGUAAUAUUCCUCAUGAUACUGAGGGAAUAGAGGGCACUUGGCCAUACCUCAAAGGAGGGGCUCAGCACAUUGCAGGAUUGAAUUCCUGUGGAACAAUUAGGUUUUUUUGGUUCAGGAAGGACUCUCUCAAAACUAAUGAGCACACCAACCCAGAGUAAAGCACAUUUUGGGUUAGUUUGAUAGAGUUAGUUUCAAGAUAAACAAUUAUACCAUGAAAAAAAUCAAAUUAAACUUGACAAAAGACUUCUGUAAUUGCUGUAAAGAUUUAUGUAAUGUUUUUAAAGCUCAAGUGAACUAUCAAAUCAAUUGGAAAAAAAAAGAAAAAUCACCCUUUGUUAUCAGGCUGUUGAGUAUAAAAGGCAAUUUAGGGCUCUCUAAGCAUUUACAGUGACGGUGAAACAAGCAUCUAUUGUUCAAAGUUCCCUGUUGCUCUUUAAUGGACCCGGCUCAACGAAUUCAUUGGAGCACAUUU
Pelodiscus sinensis (Chinese soft-shelled turtle) is the source of this 1535-nucleotide non-coding RNA. Lineage: Eukaryota; Metazoa; Chordata; Testudines; Trionychidae. The record is from RefSeq and is a predicted model, not a curated record.